Molecule: ribosomal RNA, 448 nt
Filed under: uncultured Microbacteriaceae bacterium
Lineage: Bacteria; Bacillati; Actinomycetota; Actinomycetes; Micrococcales; Microbacteriaceae
Description: bacterial SSU rRNA
Rfam family: Bacterial small subunit ribosomal RNA
Source: RNAcentral
GGCCUACGGGGGGCUGCAGUGGGGAAUAUUGCACAAUGGGCGAAAGCCUGAUGCAGCAACGCCGCGUGAGGGACGACGGCCUUCGGGUUGUAAACCUCUUUUAGUAGGGAAGAAGCGAAAGUGACGGUACCUGCAGAAAAAGCACCGGCUAACUACGUGCCAGCAGCCGCGGUAAUACGUAGGGUGCAAGCGUUAUCCGGAAUUAUUGGGCGUAAAGAGCUCGUAGGCGGUCUGUCGCGUCUGCUGUGAAAACCGGAGGCUCAACCUCCAGCCUGCAGUGGGUACGGGCAGACUAGAGUGCGGUAGGGGAGAUUGGAAUUCCUGGUGUAGCGGUGGAAUGCGCAGAUAUCAGGAGGAACACCGAUGGCGAAGGCAGAUCUCUGGGCCGUAACUGACGCUGAGGAGCGAAAGCGUGGGGAGCGAACAGGAUUAGAUACCCCAGUAGUCA